UACGUAGGGUGCAAGCGUUAAUCGGAAUUACUGGGCGUAAAGCGUGCGCAGGCGGUUUUGUAAGACCGAUGUGAAAUCCCCGGGCUUAACCUGGGAACUGCAUUUGUGACUGCAUCGCUGGAGUGCGGCAGAGGGGGAUGGAAUUCCGCGUGUAGCAGUGAAAUGCGUAGAUAUGCGGAGGAACACCGAUGGCGAAGGCAAUCCCCUGGGCCUGCACUGACGCUCAUGCACGAAAGCGUGGGGAGCAAACAGG
This 253-nucleotide ribosomal RNA is filed under the name uncultured bacterium. Its description in RNAcentral is "partial 16S ribosomal RNA". It matches the Rfam family "Bacterial small subunit ribosomal RNA", at positions 524 to 776 of the family's 1533-position model. The record is from RNAcentral.